Molecule: non-coding RNA, 46 nt
Filed under: Trichobilharzia regenti
Lineage: Eukaryota; Metazoa; Platyhelminthes; Trematoda; Strigeidida; Schistosomatidae
Source: RNAcentral
GUACGGAUGAAGAAUCCCAAACUAGGGCGAAACAGCUGUCCAGUAC